Molecule: long non-coding RNA, 1406 nt
Filed under: Mus musculus (house mouse)
Lineage: Eukaryota; Metazoa; Chordata; Mammalia; Rodentia; Muridae
Description: long non-coding RNA chr2:45105495-45106901
Source: RNAcentral
GUAUCUCCAUGGAGAGAACAGGAUGGGGAUGGAUCUCUCUGGAGUACCCUCAGAGCUGGUACCUGCCGCACAGACAGCCUGACUGAAAAGCAGGCGAACAGUCUCCCUGUGACAAGCUCACCAACUUUAGGAAAGCAACUUGCCAAAGAUUUCCACAGUGGCAAAGAUAGGUAAGUUGUGACCAGUUACAACCUGAAGGACACCAUCCUGCUUCGAUGUGAUUAGAGGGUCUGUCACUUCCAGCUGCCCAUCCCAACUUUGCCUAUGAGGGAGGAGAGUGGAAACCCCAGUCUAAGAAGGGGUUGUUUGAUUGCAGUCGCAUUUCUUUCCAUUUAAGCGACUCUGCAAUGGAGUCGCUUCUCCACUCCUCCAAUGCCCUUCAGCAGCACUGAUAGAACCUCCACUCCUUUUAAAAGAGUGAGAAGGAGCAAAGGUUUCUUUCAAACAGGGACAAUCAUUUCUGCUCAUCUGAUUACUCCUCCCCGAGAUAUUCAACUUGAGUACUUUCCUUUACAAACUGAAAAAAAUCACAGAGCAAAGGUGUUUGGUGAAAGCAGCCCUGUCCACUACACCCCCCUCCUAGGCAGCCCAUAGGACCCAAACCUUUAGCAGAAACUUUGAAACAAAAUCAAGCUAACUUUUCCUUCCUUCUUUCGUUUCCUUCUUCUCCCUUCCUAAUUCAUUUUCUUUUUCCACUCAAAGAGAACUUCAUUCCCUUCUCUGAGACAGGAAGACCAGCAAUUUCAUUUUUUGUUAAAACACGCAUGUUGUCUGUGUGAUUUCCCAGAGACUGGUGGUGGAAGCCGGGAGACUGGGAAGGUAGGCCUUUCUUCCCAGAUGGCUACUAAUCAUGAAGGAAACUGGAGCAUUCUAGGACCUGCUGCCUGAAAUCAGGGGUGAAAGCAACAAACUUUGCAAGUUUCAAACCGGCUGCAAGUGGUGGCAGCCUGCAGCAGAGCCUUGCCAUUCUGGAGAGCUCUUUCCUGCUUCCAAGGCUGUGUGGAGAUAGUGGGGUAUAAUCAGAGGACUAUAAAGGGGGGGGCUGGCUCUCCCCCUCCUCUCUAGCCUUAGUGAAAGUGUUACAAAGUGAGUCAGGCGGCUGAGGAUCAUCUGACUGAACUUUCUUGAAACCUACACUCAUUCUUGUCUGCUGGCUAUUUAUUUGCUUUUUACCCCUUUCCCUAAUCCCACCUCCCCUUUCUUCCCUGCACAUCUGAUUUUCUAGGAAAAGGUUUCCUGCUUUCCCUGUGGGUGAAAGGAGAGGAACUAGCCAUUCUUAACUUGGUCCUGGCACUGUCUUUACUAGGCAUCUUGCUGGCCCGGAGAAUAUUGGUGCUUGGAUUUUUUAGAUUGUUCCUCUCUGUCUAUAAUGGUAUCCCCUGAUCUGCCUCUCUCGCCUAGGCUUU